This 483-nucleotide unclassified non-coding RNA is filed under the name uncultured Acaulospora. RNAcentral describes it as "SSU rRNA". It matches the Rfam family "Eukaryotic small subunit ribosomal RNA", at positions 569 to 1059 of the family's 1831-position model. The record is from RNAcentral. Lineage: Eukaryota; Fungi; Glomeromycota; Glomeromycetes; Diversisporales; Acaulosporaceae.
AGCAGCCGCGGUAAUUCCAGCUCCAAUAACGUAUAUUAAAGUUGUUGCAGUUAAAAGCUCGUAGUUGAAUUUCGGGAUUUAUCCGUCGGUCGGGCUUUUGGGUCUGUACUGGGGUGAUGAAUUCCUACCUUCUGAAUAACCAGCAUGCCAUUAAUUUGGUGCGCCGGGGAAGCAGGACUGUUACCUUGAAAAAUUGAGUGCUUAAAGCAGGCUAUUGCCUGAAUACAUUAGCAUGGAAUAAUGAAAUAGGACGGCAUGGUUCUAUUUUGUUGGUUUCCAGGAUCACCGUAAUGAUUAAUAGGGAUAGUUGGGGGCAUUAGUAUUCAAUUGUCAGAGGUGAAAUUCUUGGAUUUAUUGAAGACUAACUUCUGCGAAAGCAUUUGCCAAGGAUGUUUUCAUUAAUCAAGAACGAAGUUAGGGAUCGAAGACGAUCAGAUACCGUCGUAGUCUUAACCAUAAACUAUGCCGACUAGGGAUCGGACG